RNAcentral lists this transfer RNA (64 nucleotides) under Dermestes coarctatus. RNAcentral describes it as "tRNA-Thr". It matches the Rfam family "tRNA". Rfam says of the family: Transfer RNA (tRNA) molecules are approximately 80 nucleotides in length. Their secondary structure includes four short double-helical elements and three loops (D, anti-codon, and T loops). Lineage: Eukaryota; Metazoa; Arthropoda; Insecta; Coleoptera; Dermestidae. The record is from RNAcentral.
GUUUUAAUAAUUUAAAUAAAAAAUACUGGUCUUGUAAACCAGAAAUGGUUAAUUCCUUAAAACA